UGAACGUGUAUCAUGAAACUGAAAAUUUAAAAAACUGAUUGGAUUGAAUAAACUGAAAAAAUAAAAUGAAGAUGGAAUGGACGAAGGAAAAAAAUUCUUGUACAAAAAUCGAAUUUCAAGUUGCCAUGACGUUUCAAUUUCCAAACCAAAGUUCAGAAUUCAAACAAACAAAAAUUGAAAAAAAAAUACAAAAAACAAUCCCAUUGGAAAUUGAGAAAAGACAAUGGAAUGUCAAAGACAAAAUAAAAAUGUAGAAAAAGGAGGCGAAAAUCGAGAAGUUCCAAAUGAAACUGCAAUCAGAAAUUAAGAAAUGGAAGCAAAAAGGAAUAUAUUUAUAAAAAGGCAACAAAAUUUGGAAUCCAAAUUGAAAGUUAUAAACAAAACGACUAGAUUGAGGAAACUCAAAAAUCGAAAUGAAAAUUGAAUAGACGAAGAGAAAAUAUCGAUUAUAAAUGGGUAAACCGGUAAAUGACAGUACCCGACAAGCCCUGCAAAUUUUUCCAUAUAGCUGUCAUAUAUACCUAUCUCCCAAUUUACAUUAUUGUCUCCAUUAAAGGCAUAUUUAUUAUCGAA
Molecule: long non-coding RNA, 573 nt
Organism: Stomoxys calcitrans (stable fly)
Lineage: Eukaryota; Metazoa; Arthropoda; Insecta; Diptera; Muscidae
Exons: 2
Source: RefSeq, a predicted model, not a curated record